GAUGAACGCUAGCUACAUGCUUAACACAUGCAAGUCGAGGGACCGGCGCACGGGUGAGUAACACGUAACCAACCUGCCCUUUAGUCGGGGACAGCCUUUCGAAAGAAAGAUUAAUACCCGAUAUAAAGGAUGGGGAUGCGUUCCAUUAGGUUGUUGGUGAGGUGACGGCUCACCAAGCCUUGGAUGGAUAGGGGGUCUGAGAGGAAGGUCCCCGACAGUGGAACUGGGCCCCGUUCCAAACUCCUACGGGAGGCAGCAGUGAGGAAUAGUGGUCAGUGGGCUCUAGCCUGAAACGGCCAAGUAGCGUGAAGGAUGACGGCUUAUGGAUCGUAGUCUUCUUUUAUAUAAGAAUAUGUAUUAUAUUAAUAAGGAUCGGCUAACUCCGUGCCAGCAGCCGCGGUAAUAC
Molecule: ribosomal RNA, 406 nt
Filed under: uncultured bacterium
Lineage: Bacteria
Description: partial 16S ribosomal RNA
Rfam family: Bacterial small subunit ribosomal RNA
Source: RNAcentral